AGUAUAAUGGUGCAGUGGGAGCAUUCCUUCAAUUAAAUUGAGGAGACCUGGGUUCGAUUCCUAGUUAUGCUA
This 72-nucleotide transfer RNA is filed under the name Spironucleus salmonicida. Its description in RNAcentral is "tRNA-Leu". It matches the Rfam family "tRNA". Rfam says of the family: Transfer RNA (tRNA) molecules are approximately 80 nucleotides in length. Their secondary structure includes four short double-helical elements and three loops (D, anti-codon, and T loops). Further hydrogen bonds mediate the characteristic L-shaped molecular structure. tRNAs have two regions of fundamental functional importance: the anti-codon, which is responsible for specific mRNA codon recognition, and the 3' end, to which the tRNAs corresponding amino acid is attached (by aminoacyl-tRNA synthetases). tRNAs cope with the degeneracy of the genetic code in two manners: having more than one tRNA (with a specific anti-codon) for a particular amino acid; and 'wobble' base-pairing, i.e. permitting non-standard base-pairing at the 3rd anti-codon position. Lineage: Eukaryota; Fornicata; Diplomonadida; Hexamitidae. The record is from RNAcentral.